AUUGAACGCUGGCGGAAUGCUUUACACAUGCAAGUCGAGCGGCAGCGCGGGGGCAACCCUGGCGGCGAGCGGCGAACGGGUGAGUAACAUAUCGGAACGUACCCCGUCGUGGGGGAGUAACACAGCGAAAGCUGUGCUAAUACCGCAUAUUCUGUGAGCAGGAAAGCGGGGGAGUCGCAAGACCUCGCGCUUCCGGAGCGGCCGAUGUCGGAUUAGCUAGUUGGCGGGGUAAAGGCCCACCAAGGCGACGAUCCGUAGCUGGUCUGAGAGGAUGAUCAGCCACACUGGAACUGAGACACGGUCCAGACUCCUACGGGAGGCAGCAGUGGGGAAUAUUGGACAAUGGGGGCGAACCCUGAUCCAGCCAUGCCGCGUGUGUGAAGAAGG
This 387-nucleotide ribosomal RNA is filed under the name uncultured bacterium. RNAcentral's name for it is "bacterial SSU rRNA". It matches the Rfam family "Bacterial small subunit ribosomal RNA", at positions 29 to 414 of the family's 1533-position model. The record is from RNAcentral.